AUGAAUCACUUACAAGCGUGCGAGCGAGCAAGCUAGCAGAAGCGCUAAGCCGAAAAAGAGUUAUCUGUUUGCCUUAUAAUUAAAAUCGCUAUCAAUAAAAAAAAGUUGCACGUUUCCCGAGUAGUAGCACAGUAUCUUACACGCGCAUACACAUAUCGGUGUAAUAAAUCGGAAAUCGUGUGAAAUCUGCAUAGACAGCAACGCAGAGCUUCUUUGUGCGCAGCGCUAACAAGUGCAUACAAACAAACACAUACGCACACUGAGUACUCUGCAAACAUUGUUGCACAGCAACAGCAACGCCAACCGCAGAUAGCAGAAGAAUUUUCUGUAGUAAAACGGAAGUUGUUGUCGUAGUCAGCUUCGCAGAAGAAGCAACGAUAGAGGCUAGUGCUACAGUAAUAUUUAUCCAAAGCAACAAUUGGACGAAAUCAAAAAGAAAAGAACGCACCUUUGCUACCUGAGCAGAUUAAACAUACGAAAGAAGGAGAGAGGAAGAGAAGAGAUAACUUUCAUACAGCUAGAGUUCUUUGAUG
Molecule: long non-coding RNA, 533 nt
Organism: Drosophila navojoa
Lineage: Eukaryota; Metazoa; Arthropoda; Insecta; Diptera; Drosophilidae
Gene: HBS1
Source: RefSeq, a predicted model, not a curated record